UACGUAGGGGGCUAGCGUUGUCCGGAAUCAUUGGGCGUAAAGCGCGUGUAGGCGGUCCGGUAAGUCCGCUGUGAAAGUCGGGGGCUCAACCCUCGGAUGCCGGUGGAUACUGUCGGGCUUGAGUACGGAAGAGGCGAGUGGAAUUCCUGGUGUAGCGGUGAAAUGCGCAGAUAUCAGGAGGAACACCAAUUGCGAAGGCAGCGCGCUGGGACGUUACUGACGCUGAGACGCGAAAGCGUGGGGAGCAAACAGG
This 253-nucleotide ribosomal RNA is filed under the name uncultured bacterium. RNAcentral describes it as "partial 16S ribosomal RNA". It matches the Rfam family "Bacterial small subunit ribosomal RNA", at positions 524 to 776 of the family's 1533-position model. The record is from RNAcentral.